RNAcentral lists this small nuclear RNA (162 nucleotides) under Nannospalax galili (Upper Galilee mountains blind mole rat). Its description in RNAcentral is "U1 spliceosomal RNA (ENSNGAG00000006424.1)". It matches the Rfam family "U1 spliceosomal RNA". Rfam says of the family: U1 is a small nuclear RNA (snRNA) component of the spliceosome (involved in pre-mRNA splicing). Its 5' end forms complementary base pairs with the 5' splice junction, thus defining the 5' donor site of an intron. Lineage: Eukaryota; Metazoa; Chordata; Mammalia; Rodentia; Spalacidae. The record is from RNAcentral.
AUACUUACCCGGCAGGAGAGAUACUGUGAUCACAAAGGCUGUUUUCCCAGGGCGAGGCUUAUACAUUGCACUCUGGAUAUGCUGACCCUUGCAAUUUCCCCAAAUGUGGGAAACUCAACUGCAGAAUUUGUGGUAGUGGGGGACUGUGCUCAUGCUCUCUCA